AGAAUCAACGCUGGCGGCGUGCCUAACACAUGCAAGUCGCACGAGAAAGGGUAGCAAUACCUGAGUAAAGUGGCGCACGGGUGAGUAACACGUGAAUUAUCUACCUCCGAGUGGGGAAUAACUGAGAGAAAUCUUAGCUAAUACCGCAUAACACUUACGAGUCAAAGCAGCAAUGCGCUUGGAGAGGAGUUCGCGGCCGAUUAGUUAGUUGGCGGGGUAAUGGCCCACCAAGACGGUGAUCUGUA
This 245-nucleotide ribosomal RNA is filed under the name uncultured bacterium. RNAcentral describes it as "partial small subunit ribosomal RNA". It matches the Rfam family "Bacterial small subunit ribosomal RNA", at positions 26 to 285 of the family's 1533-position model. The record is from RNAcentral.